Molecule: transfer RNA, 69 nt
Filed under: Sicydium salvini
Lineage: Eukaryota; Metazoa; Chordata; Actinopteri; Gobiiformes; Gobiidae
Description: tRNA-Met
Rfam family: tRNA
About the family: Transfer RNA (tRNA) molecules are approximately 80 nucleotides in length.
Source: RNAcentral
AGCAAGGUCAGCUAAAUAAGCUUUUGGGCCCAUACCCCAAACAUGUUGGUUAGAAUCCUUCCCUUGCUA